UACGUAGGGUGCAAGCGUUGUCCGGAAUUAUUGGGCGUAAAGAGCUUGUAGGCGGUUUGUCGCGUCUGCUGUGAAAUUUCGGGGCUCAACCCCGAACUUGCAGUGGGUACGGGCAGACUAGAGUGUGGUAGGGGAGACUGGAAUUCCUGGUGUAGCGGUGAAAUGCGCAGAUAUCAGGCGGAACACCCGUGGCGAAGGCGGCCAGCUGGGCCAACACUGACGCUGAGGCGCGAAAGCUAGGGGAGCAAACAGG
RNAcentral lists this ribosomal RNA (253 nucleotides) under uncultured bacterium. RNAcentral describes it as "partial 16S ribosomal RNA". It matches the Rfam family "Bacterial small subunit ribosomal RNA", at positions 524 to 776 of the family's 1533-position model. The record is from RNAcentral.